GUAAUAGCUCACUGGUCGAGUGAAGUUGCGCGGAAAAUUACCGGGGCUAAGUUAUACACCGAAAUUGCGGAUUCAUUAAGAAAUUAAUGAGUGGUAGAGGAGCGUUCUAUACAGGAUGAAGUAUGAUCGAGAGGACAUAUGGACAGUAUAGAAGAGAGAAUGCCGGAAUGAGUAGCGAGAGCAAAGUGAGAAUCUUUGCCGUCGAAAAUCUAAGGUUUCCUGGGGAAGGUUCGUCCGCCCAGGGUAAGUCGGGACCUAAGGUGAGGCCGAAGGGCGUAGCCGAUGGACAGCAGGUUAAGAUUCCUGCACCAGUAUACAUGUAUAAUGCAUAAGAGGACACAUUUGAAGAAGAUGAGCGAGGAAGAGGAAAAACUCGUAUGGCAACAUAUAGUGAAAUAAAGUAACGAAUCAUCAAGAGGCAAGUGGCGAGAAAAGUCUUAUGUAGUUGUGUAGACUGCCCGUACCGCAAACCGACACAGGUAGAUGAGGAGAGGAUCCUAAGACGAGCGGGAGAAGCAUUGUUAAGGAACUCGGCAAAUUGACCCCGUAACUUAGGGAUAAGGGGUGCUGGUGUAAAAGCCAGUCGCAGUAAAUAGGCCCAAGCAACUGUUUAACAAAAACACAGGUUUCUGCUAAAUCGCAAGAUGAAGUAUAGGAGCUGACUCCUGCCCAGUGCUGGAAGGUUAAGGGGAAAGGUUAAGAAUAAUUCAUUAUAUCUGAAGCUUUGAACUCAAGCCCCAGUGAACGGCGGCCGUAACUAUAACGGUCCUAAGGUAGCGAAAUUCCUUGUCAGGUAAGUUCUGACCCGCACGAAAGGAGUAAUGAUUUGGGCACUGUCUCAACAAUGUACCCGGCGAAAUUGUAGUACUAGUGAAGAUGCUAGUUACCUGCGACAAGACGGAAAGACCCCAUGGAGCUUUACUAUAGCCUGAUAUUGGGCUUUGGUAUCUUAUGUACAGGAUAGGUGGGAGACUAUGAGAUUAAGACGCAAGUCUUAAAGGAGUCAACCUUGGAAUACCACCCUUAAGAUAUUAGAGUUCUAACUUGUGAUCAUAAACUGGUCAGAGGACAUUGUCAGGUGGGUAGUUUGACUGGGGCGGUCACCUCCUAAAGAGUAACGGAGGUGCGCAAAGGUUUCCUCGGCACGGUCAGAAAUCGUGCUAAUGAGUGUAAAGGCAUAAGGAAGCUUAACUGAGAGAGAGACAUCUCGACCAGAUACGAAAGUAGGUCUUAGUGAUCCGGUGGUAGAAAAUGGAAUUGCCAUCGCUCAACGGAUAAAAGUUACCCUGGGGAUAACAGGCUUAUCUCCCCCAAGAGUUCACAUCGACGGGGAGGUUUGGCACCUCGAUGUCGGCUCAUCGCAUCCUGGGGCUGUAGUCGGUCCCAAGGGUUGGGCUGUUCGCCCAUUAAAGCGGUACGCGAGCUGGGUUCAGAACGUCGUGAGACAGUUCGGUCCCUAUCUGUCGCAGGCGCAGGAUAUUUGAAAGGAGCUGUCCUUAGUACGAGAGGACCAGGAUGGACAUACCAAUGGUGCAACAGUUGUCACACCAGUGGCACAGCUGUGUAGCUAAGUAUGGAAGGGAUAAACGCUGAAAGCAUCUAAGCGUGAAGCCCCCCUUAAGAUAAGAUAUCCCACAACGUCAAGUUGGUAAGAUUCCAGUUAGACUAACUGGUUGAUAGGUUAGAGGUGUAAGUGUGGUGACACAUUUAGCUGACUAAUACUAAUAAUCGAGGGCUUAACCA
RNAcentral lists this ribosomal RNA (1743 nucleotides) under human oral metagenome. RNAcentral describes it as "bacterial LSU rRNA". It matches the Rfam family "Bacterial large subunit ribosomal RNA", at positions 1134 to 2925 of the family's 2925-position model. The record is from RNAcentral.